CCCAAUAAUGCCCGACGGGAAGGUGUCU
This 28-nucleotide non-coding RNA is filed under the name Homo sapiens (human). The record is from RNAcentral. Lineage: Eukaryota; Metazoa; Chordata; Mammalia; Primates; Hominidae.